AUGUCGUCGCAGCCGCAUCACCAGCCGCUCGGCAUCACCGCCCCGGUGCCCGUCCCGGUGCACGAGGACGACCGGCUGGCCAAGCUCAAGAGGCGGAUCAAGGAGAAGCGCGGGCCGCUGAUGGUGGCGGCGAUGUUCCUGGCGUGCGCGGCCCACCGGUCCGCCCUGAACCCCCCGGGCGGGUACUGGAAGCACGGGCGCGACGCCGGCACCCCGGUGAUGGCCAACUACGAAAACUUCAGAAUGCUUACCUCCAUGGCGUUCUUUACGUCACUGGCGCUCCUGGUGCUGCUCUCCUGCGACCGCUUCUACCGGACGUGGGAGAGGACAUGGCAGGGCUGCUCCUCCUCGCUCUCUUCGACGCCGGCUGCCUCGCCUCUGCCUACGUAG
This 390-nucleotide ribosomal RNA is filed under the name Triticum aestivum (bread wheat). Its description in RNAcentral is "partial small subunit ribosomal RNA". Lineage: Eukaryota; Viridiplantae; Streptophyta; Magnoliopsida; Poales; Poaceae. The record is from RNAcentral.